RNAcentral lists this ribosomal RNA (464 nucleotides) under uncultured bacterium. RNAcentral describes it as "partial 16S ribosomal RNA". It matches the Rfam family "Bacterial small subunit ribosomal RNA", at positions 339 to 795 of the family's 1533-position model. The record is from RNAcentral.
CUACGGGGGGCAGCAGUGGGGAAUAUUGGACAAUGGGGGAAACCCUGAUCCAGCAAUGCCGCGUGUGUGAAGAAGGCCUGCGGGUUGUAAAGCACUUUCGGUUGGGAGGACUGCUUCUAGCACUAAUAUUGUUGGAAGUUGACGUUACCUUCAGAAGAAGCACCGGCUAACUCCGUGCCAGCAGCCGCGGUAAUACGGAGGGUGCAGGCGUUAAUCGAAUUACUGGGCGUAAAGCGCGCGUAGGCGGCUAGAUCAGUCGGGUGUGAAAGCCCCGGGCUUAACCUGGGAACUGCAUCCGUUACUGUCUAGCUUGAGUACAGGAGAGGAGAGUGGAAUUCCACAUGUAGCGGCGAAAUGCGUAGAUAUGUGGAGGAACACCAAUGGCGAAGGCAGCUCUCUGGCCUGAUACUGACGCUGAGGUGCGAAAGCGUGGGGAGCAAACAGGAUUAGAUACCCGUGUAGUC